AAUGAACGCUGGCGGCAUGCCUAACACAUGCAAGUCGAACGAAGCCUUCGGGCUUAGUGGCGCACGGGUGCGUAACGCGUGGGAAUCUGCCCUUGGGUUCGGAAUAACAGUGGGAAACUACUGCUAAUACCGAAUGAUGUCGCAAGACCAAAGAUUUAUCGCCCAGGGAUGAGCCCGCGUAGGAUUAGCUAGUUGGUGUGGUAAAAGCGCACCGAGGCGACGANCCUUAGCUGGUCUGAGAGGAUGAUCAGCCACACUGGGACUGAGACACGGCCCAGACUCCUACGGGAGGCAGCAGGUGGGGAAUAUUGGACAAUGGGCGAAAGCCUGAUCCAGCAAUGCCGCGUGAGUGAUGAAGGCCUUAGGGUUGU
RNAcentral lists this ribosomal RNA (371 nucleotides) under uncultured bacterium. RNAcentral's name for it is "bacterial SSU rRNA". It matches the Rfam family "Bacterial small subunit ribosomal RNA", at positions 29 to 426 of the family's 1533-position model. The record is from RNAcentral.